This 206-nucleotide ribosomal RNA is filed under the name Clostridioides difficile. RNAcentral's name for it is "partial 23S ribosomal RNA". It matches the Rfam family "Bacterial large subunit ribosomal RNA", at positions 1184 to 1397 of the family's 2925-position model. Lineage: Bacteria; Bacillati; Bacillota; Clostridia; Peptostreptococcales; Peptostreptococcaceae. The record is from RNAcentral.
AAACUUACUACCGAAGCUACGGCAUCAGUAAUGAUGGGUAGGGGAGCUUCCCAUACGGGUUGAAGCAUGCCCGUAAGGACAUGUGGACAGUAUGGGAGUGAGAAUGUUGGCAUGAGUAGCGAGAUGUGGGUGAGAACCCCACAGGCCGUAAACCCAAGGUUUCCAGGGGAAGGUUCGUCCGCCCUGGGUUAGUCGGGACCUAAGCU